RNAcentral lists this long non-coding RNA (847 nucleotides) under Monodelphis domestica (gray short-tailed opossum). RNAcentral describes it as "lncRNA (ENSMODG00000037528.1)". The record is from RNAcentral. Lineage: Eukaryota; Metazoa; Chordata; Mammalia; Didelphimorphia; Didelphidae.
GUUCGCCAUUCUGAAUACAGUGUUCGUGAUGGUGAGUUUGAACUCUGAGCAUUUGCUGAGUAGCAGUAGGCCAUUGUUGUUCAUUUUGCCCACACCGUGUUUGCCGAGUACUCCUUUCCAUCUAUCAUGGUCCUGGCCAACGUGGGCGUUGAAGUCUCCCAGUAGUAUCAGCUUGUCAUUUGUGGGCACUGAGUGCAGGACGGCACUCAGGUCAGAGUAGAACUGCUCGAUGGUCUCCUCUGUGCUGGUCAGUGUUGGGGCAUAUGCGCUGAUGAUUGUGGCAUACUGGUCUUUGCGGAGAGGUAAACAGAUCUUCAUGAGCCUCUCUCUGAUGCCCACAGGCAAGUCUGGCAGCUGUUUGAGCAAACUGGUCUUGAUGGCCAGGCCAACACCGUGGAUUCUGUCUUCAUUUGAGGCUCUACCUUUCCAGAAGAAGGUGUAUCCAGUGGUGGGUUCGCUGAGUGAUCCCUCUUCUGAGAGAUUGCUUCUGGAGAUUCUUGGUGUUUGGAGGGAGUGGCUGAGAUUCCUGCCUUGACUUGGAGGAGACUUUUCCCCUGGAUCCUGUAUUAGCUUGCUGGAUGAGUGGCUGAGAUUCCUGCCUUGACUUUGGAGGAGGCUGCGUUGGUGGAACUCUGGCUGAAGACACUACUGGGACUUCUGGCUGAGGAUUACUGGGAAAUCAAGAUGGAUAUCAGACUUGGGGAAGCCUUACCAAGGCUGAGCAGGACAUCAGAGCAACACUUAGGGUGGUAGGCUAUAUAAUUCUCUACCUUCUUACAUUUUCCCAUUUUCACUCUUUCACCUCUUUGUAAAUAAAGCUUCUAAAAGUCAUUUUGACUUAAGGUAU